CUCAGUACACGUGAUAACCUAGCCUUAGACCCGAAUAACCCCGGGAAACUGGGAUAAUACCCGAUAAGCCCAUAGAAAGCUGAAAUGCCCUAUGGUUCAAAGCUCCGGCGCCUAAGGAUGGAUCUGCGGUCUAUCAGGUUGUAGUGGGUGUAACGUACCUACUAGCCGACGACGGAUACGGGUUGUGAGAGCAAGAGCCCGGAGAUGGAUUCUGAGACACGAAUCCAGGCCCUACGGGGUGCAGCAGGCGCGAACACUUUACAAUGCGGGAAACCGCGAUAAGGGAACCCCGAGUGCCAGCAUCAAAUGUUGGCUGUCCAGAUGAUCAAAAAUCAUUUGUUAGCAAGGGCCGGGCAAGACCGGUGCCAGCCGCCGCGGUAACACCGGCGGCCCGAGUGGUAGCCGUUUUUAUUGGGUCUAAAGGGUCCGUAGCCGGCCUGAUAAGUCCUUUGGGAAAUCUGGCAGCUUAACUGUCAGGCUUCUAAGGGGAUACUGUCAGGCUUGGGACCGGAAGAGGUAAGGGGUACUCCAGGGGUAGGAGUGAAAUCUUGUAAUCCCUGGGGGACCAUCUGUGGCGAAGGCGCCUUACCAGAACGGGUCCGACGGUGAGGGACGAAAGCUAGGGGAGCAAACCGGAUUAGAUACCCGGGUAGUCCUAGCUGUAAACGAUGCUCGCUAGGUGUCAGACACGGUGCGACCGUGUUUGGUGCCGCAGGGAAGCCGUUAAGCGAGCCACCUGGGAAGUACGGUCGCAAGGCUGAAACUAAAG
RNAcentral lists this ribosomal RNA (769 nucleotides) under uncultured archaeon. RNAcentral's name for it is "bacterial SSU rRNA". It matches the Rfam family "Archaeal small subunit ribosomal RNA", at positions 89 to 861 of the family's 1478-position model. The record is from RNAcentral.